UUUUGAGGUACCACCCAAACACACCUUAUCUCACCUGAUCUCAGAAGCUAUGCAGAGGUGGUUAGGACUUGGAUGGGGGACUACCAAGACAUAUGGGGAAUCUCCAGGU
Ribosomal RNA from Pogona vitticeps (central bearded dragon), 109 nucleotides. The record is from Ensembl. NCBI's taxonomy places the organism in Eukaryota, Metazoa, Chordata, Lepidosauria, Squamata, Agamidae.